CCCUAAAUACUAAUGCACCAGAUCUCAUUAGAAUUCCGAAGUUAAGCAUACUUGGGUGAGAGUAGUACUAAGAUGGGUGACUAAUAAGUCUUCAUUAUC
RNAcentral lists this ribosomal RNA (99 nucleotides) under Spirodela intermedia. The record is from RNAcentral. Lineage: Eukaryota; Viridiplantae; Streptophyta; Magnoliopsida; Alismatales; Araceae.